This 406-nucleotide ribosomal RNA is filed under the name uncultured bacterium. RNAcentral's name for it is "partial 16S ribosomal RNA". It matches the Rfam family "Bacterial small subunit ribosomal RNA", at positions 30 to 526 of the family's 1533-position model. The record is from RNAcentral.
AUUGAACGCUGGCGGCAGGCCUAACACAUGCAAGUCGAACGAGUGGCGGACGGGUGAGUAAUGUCUGGGAAACUGCCAGAUGGAGGGGGAUAACUCCUGGAUACGGUAGCUAAUACCGCAUUCCACCAUAUUUGCCCAGAUGGGAGUCGCUUGUUGGUUGGGUAACGGCUCACCAAGGCGACGAUCCCUAGCUGGUCUGAGAGGAUGACCAGCAACACUGGAACUGAGACAAGGGCCAGACUCCUACGGGAGGCAGCAGUGGGGAAUAGUGCACAAUGGGCGCAAGCCGGAUGCAGCCAUGCGGCGUGUGUGAAGAAGGCCUUCGGGUUGUAAAGUACUUUCAGCGGGGAGGCGUUACCCGCAGAAGAAGCAACGUCUAACUCCGUGCCAGCAGCCGCGGUAAUAC